Long non-coding RNA from Rhinopithecus roxellana (golden snub-nosed monkey), 1753 nucleotides. RefSeq lists it as uncharacterized. Lineage: Eukaryota; Metazoa; Chordata; Mammalia; Primates; Cercopithecidae. The record is from RefSeq and is a predicted model, not a curated record. The transcript is spliced from 7 exons.
AGUUCCUCCCUCAGGUGAGUGUUCUGCCACAAAGUGAGCAUCCUGCUGCCCUUCCUGCAAAUCAGGCCCCUGGGACACUUAGUGCCGAGCCUUGGGGGUGGGGUGUUUGGUCCGGGUUCCUGACAAGUGGCUGGGUUGUCUGUUCCCUCUCUUCAGGGGGAGCCUCCAUGGGUGGCCUGGGCUCACAUCGGCUUCUCCAGUCCAGCCGAGCACCCCACUGGCUGCCCAGCCUGUUGAGAGAACUUGCUGAGCAAGACAUUGAGCCCCUCCUGGAACCCAGCGGCUCACCUGAACCUGGACUAAAGAUGGAGCACUUUACCGCAUAUGCAGAGAUGAGAAACAGAGGCCCGAGGAGGGAAGGGACUGGACACGGUGGAACAGCCACGGGCUGCGCCUGUGUUUCCAUCCGCCUUCCUCCUGCCUGUGCUUGAGUCACGUGCUGGUGUGCAGGGAACAGGAAGACAGCCGCUGCCCUCACAGGCUCAGGGUCUAGCAGAGUCCACAGUGACCACAGCCCAGUGCAGGUGCAUGUGACUCCUGAAACUUCAGUGACUCUGCUCUGUGCCAGAUACUGAAGAUGGAGCAGCAAAUAGCACUGACCCAACCUGCCCUCCUGUUGCCUACAGGCCAGCCUGGAGUGCCUACACCUGAACAUGCACAGCCCCUCAGGGAAAAGAACAAAACCUGAGGCAAAAAGGAAAGAAGAGUGUGAAGCUGGAGAGGCCAGAGGCUGAGAGGCUGGCUCCCCACCCCCACCCUCCCACCUGCUACAGCUCCUCCUGCGGUCUCCGUCUCCGAGGAGCCUGAGAAUUCUAAACACAAACCCAGCCUUCCAGUGAGGAGACAAGGUGGAAUGGAACGCAGAGCCCACGUGUGCCUGGCACUUGGCAAGUACACCGGGAAGGAUUGGGAAGGGCAGGAGUUACAUCAUUCACCUCUGUUUACAGCUAAGCAAACUAGCGGAGGCUCAGCGAGGUGAAGUCAGUCCCCAAGGUCACACAGCCGGCCGCGGGGCAGGGGCCCAAGACGUAGUUGUCUGACCUGUGCUCUAACCACUGUACUCUCUGGCCUCCAGACGGCUCCCACAUUACCUUUCCCUGUUCUCCGUGGCCCUCCAGCGCCUGAAAGCCGCUUGGGGGCCGCGGAGGCAGUUGGCAUGGCCAGGGCAGAGUCCGCGGGGCGGAAAGGGUUAAGGGGCUCCGCCGCAUUGGGCCGUCCUUCAAGGGGGGAACCAGCGAAUGAGAGCGCGCCGCGAUGAGAAACGCCUGAACUGAAAGUCUCGGCUCCAGGGCCGCGGGCAUCCCUUAGUCUGGGACAGGAACCGAGAGACGUCCCGGCCUCAGUCACACCUUCUGGGCCUCAGUUUCCCUUUCUGCAAGGAGAGUGGGUGAUCGCUAAAGACCCUACCAGCUGUGGACGUCCUUGGAUCCCAGGACAGUUUUCAGCCCUUCCUUGCCCUUGGCCCGAACUUUAACGGUCCCAGCCCCGGCUCCCUUCAGGCGGUGCCCAGUGCCAGGGACCUAGAAGUCCCCCGGGCCACAGGGAGGGAGCCUCACCGGCCCAGCCACGCCCUCCAUGUGGCCCGGACCCAUCCCUUGGGUAUCGCACCUGGCGCGCCCACCGAUGCCACCAAGCUCUGCUAGCUGCACCAGCAGCAGGACCUGCCGGCGUGGCGGUCAGAGGUCAACAUUCAUCCCACCGCCAACGGAGUCUUGCUCUGUUGCCAGGCUGGAGUUCAGUGGCAUGAUCUCGG